Molecule: long non-coding RNA, 5223 nt
Organism: Brassica rapa (field mustard)
Lineage: Eukaryota; Viridiplantae; Streptophyta; Magnoliopsida; Brassicales; Brassicaceae
Source: RefSeq, a predicted model, not a curated record
CGCGAGUGGUGGUGGUGGUCGUGUGGUGUCCGUGUUCUCAACUCUCACUUCUCUCGCCUCUCAUCUCAGAUCCAGAACCAGAUCUAGGCUAAGAACUAUAAGUGGAAAUGUCGACGGUAAGAAAGGAAACGCACCUGAAACUCAUGGGACCAGAAACGGGACACACGGAGAUGUCGGAAAAGUAGACAUGUGUGUCCUAAACCCCGCGCCCUGGAACCCCGGUUGGAAAUGGGGAGGGACGGGUGUUUUAAAUUGGUAUCAGAGCCAGGUUAAGGUCCCUUAAUACUAACUUAAGGGAUCAGCAUUUCCGCUAUUGCCCAUUUCCCUUAUGGUUCUGAUAGACCGCCUUAGUUAAUGUUGAAGGAGAAUUCGAACAGCUCAGAGUCUCCGGCCAAGAUCAGAUCAAACAAAAAGUCCUCGAACCGCAGUGUAGUGGAGUUUCAAAGGUUCAGGAAUGCGUAACUAGGAGUUAUAAGGCAAGUAUACAGAGGGAUUAGUCGCCUAGCACGUCAAGCUAAGGGGGAAUGGAAAGUCGGACAGCUGGAGGGAAGCGUCUCGCGGACGACACCGCCCCACACAGGGCCGGGGAGGCCUGGGAAGGAGAGACGGACGCAAGGCCGAGGCGUGCGCAGCUUCAUGGAAGGAUUAAACCCUGCAAAGAAAUGGACUUCUGGCAUUCAGAUAUCACAGUGAAGCUUGUUCCCAGUAGAAAAAAAAAAAAAAAAGAAACAUGGGCGUGGGCCCCACCACCAGGGCGUGGGCCGCCGACAAGGAUGGAGCAACACCGGAGCGGCCAAGGGACGGUCGGAUGCACAGUAGGAGGAAACUGAUUCCAGAUUAGGGUAACUAAGCAAAGGAUCAUAUUGGGGUAAAAAGGACGAUGGAGGAUCAUCUUGGGGUAAAAAGGAUGAUGGAGGAUCAUCUUGGGGUAAAAAGGAUGAUGGAGAGUCAUCUUGGAGCAGAAUGCAAAAUGCUAAUAAGGAUAUGAGAUCUUCUUAGGGAAAAAGGGUUGGCUGUAAAAAGGAUCAUCUUGGGGCAAAAAGGGAUGAUAAGAACCACACCGGGGAUAUUGUCUGUUUAAGCAGCUCUACCUUGAGAAUUGAUUGAAAACUGCCAUCUAUGCAUGACUACUACUAUGUUCUGAUCAGGUCUUUGUUUUUACGCUGCAGGAUAUCUUCACCAGUGCAUCACGAGCUCGGAGAAAGGCGCAUGCGCUAUGGACCAAAAGGGACAAGGGCUUACGCUCGCAAGCCCUACCGUGACGCUUGGGGCGAUGUGGUACCUGCACUCUUCCCAGACGAAGAGGAAAUGGAGUUCGCGGAGCCGCCCAACGCCCCCAUCCAGGAGACGACCGUGAGGCGUCGGAUUUUGAUGCCCCAUUUCCAGCGGGCAGUCGAGUACAGGCGAUUGUACCAGGGUCAGGGUACUUUCCAGUUUGCACCUGAAGUUGACAUGACGCCGCCCACAAGGGGUCGAGGGCGCCCAAGGAAGACAGGGCCGACCAGGGAAGGUCCGGAACCGAUCCGGAUGGAGGACAGUGUACCAACGAGGAAACGGGGACGCCCAAGGAAGAUUCCGAGCAUUGAUGCAGAGAGUCUGAGGAGAACAACUGGAAUAUGUCGGUGUGGAACAUUGACGCAGGCCAGGUAAGGACCGCGCUCAGUCUGGGAGUACACAGAGGAAUUCCUGGAGGCAGCCAAAAGAUGCAAGCCCAAGACAGCGGAGGAUUGGUGCUGGUGGUACAAGGCAGGACUCCGCGAGGAGAUUCAGGGCAAGCUGAUUGGUGUGUUUGAACCAUGGGAAUUCGCCUUGGUGAACCGGAUGGCCGGUCAGGCAAUGGAGGCUGAACGGACACUUACUCGUCGGGUCGUCGCUAUCACGAGCUCUGAGGAGGACGUAGAGGUGGAAGAGGAUCCAUCAGAGGACUCAGACUGGGAAGAGGAGCCGGCGUCGCCGACGGGGAGUGGCCGUGUGGCUGGUCCUAAGCCGGACGGGGAGCAGAAGUCUCCAGUUCGAAGUGGCUAGCUGUGAUUCCAGAGUCAGCUAGUAGGAGUAGGACAUGGUUUUUCGUCUUUGGUUUUAGCUUUUUCUUUCUUGUUAUAAGGGUAUUCGCGGAUUUUGGCGAUACCUUGAGACCUAUCUAAUUAUUGUAGUCCUACUCCAUUUCAUUUAUUCAAUUCAUUGUUGGUUUUAAAUGAUCUUGAGCAAGUAGGAUAUCUUUGUGUGCUUCCCUUGUUUGUGUUUGAAAAAAAAUCCCUUUGGGUUUUGGAAUGUUAAGGUUUAAAGCCUGAAGAUUGGAAUUCGGGGCGAAUUCCGAUUAACAGGAGGAGAAUUGUAACACCCCAAAACCCAAAACCCAAAACUUUUUGGGUAAAGGCCCGCUCUGCGGCCCAUUAGGGUUAAAACCCCUAGGGUUUCCUUGCCUCCCUUAUAAAAGCAAGCUCCCACCCUUCUAGCCUCUCAUCAGAAACUUAGAAGCGAAGCCCUGCAGAGAACUCCCGGAGAUCAGAAGCCCUAGCCGUCGCCUCUCUCCCUUCCGCGCCGCCUCUUCUCUUUCUCUCUUCGCCGCGGCUCUUCUCUCUCUCUCUCCUCGCUGUGCCUCUUUCUCUCUCUCGGACGACUCUCUCUCCUCGCCGUGAGCAACCGCGAGUGGUGGUGGUGGUCGUGUGGUGUCCGUGUUCUCAACUCUCACUUCUCUCGCCUCUCAUCUCAGAUCCAGAACCAGAUCUAGGCUAAGGUGAGGUGUUCUGUCCAGAUCUGUUCUAUGUCCUUUUAUAUUGUUGAAUGGGUUGCUAGUAUUGAUUAGAUCUUGUUUGUUGUUAGGAUGAUAGACCAUAUUGCAUCAGGACUCUCAUACUGAUUAAGAACUUUACAUGAACUGGUUUAAUGUUGAAUGUGGAUUGAGUGAUUGGUUGAUUGAAGAUCUGUUGUUUGUGAUUGAGAGCUAGGAUGGUUAGAAAGGAAAUGAACUUAGGAACUUAAGAGAACUGUUAACCGGUCUGGUUAGAUGAAUGUUAGGAUAUUCAUGACUGAAUGUUAAAUGGAUUGAGUGUGACACCGAGAACGGGUGGCGUCUAAAACGGAAAGUAAGAAAGAGUCUAAGAGAUAAGGAAAAAGGAAAUGAUGAAUGAUUGAAAUACAAACCACCGAGGGACUGGUGGGGAGUAUGGGAAAUGAAUAGAAAAGGAAUACGAACCACCGAGGGACUGGUGGGGAGUAUGGGAAAACGCGGCGGCCGUAGCGUUCAAAAACGGCAGGUUAAGAAUAGAGGCGGCGGUAAGAUUGAGUCACGCCGAGUCUUGGCGGGAAGGGGCCGUAAUACACUGCAAAGGGUAUAGACUACAUCCAAGGGAACCGGAUGCCGAGUGUACCAGGGCAGGCGGCUCCACAGGAACGCAGCAAGAAAGGGGAGGGUUGGUCCGCUUGAGCUGUGUAGGUCCUAGAGUUAUAGGAUGAAUGGAGUCUUAAUUAAUAAACCGAAAUGUGUGAAUUGAGCGAUGACUGAGUUCAUUGCACUGCUUGUUUUGUGAAAUGAAACUUUAAUAGUUAGUUAAGAAUUGGGUGUAGUGACUAGUCGGUUCUCGUUUCGCAUUGAGCGGUAUAAAAGCUCAUGGGGGAGACUGGUCUAGAAUCGCUUCACUGAGUAUUCGUACUCACCCCUCUUUUUCCCUCUCAUUUUUGCAGAACUAUAAGUGGAAAUGUCGACGGUAAGAAAGGAAACGCACCUGAAACUCAUGGGACCAGAAACGGGACACACGGAAAUGUCGGAAAAGUAGACAUGUGUGUCCUAAACCCCGCGCCCUGGAACCCCGGUUGGAAAUGGGGAGGGACGGGUGUUUUACAUGCAUUCAUAUGUAGGGGCGGAUCCAAGAUGGUUUUUAGUAUGGGGCACUUAACCAUUUCAAUAACUAAAAGCUUAAUAUAAGUGUACUUAAUUAAAUUUAACACUAGAUGUCAAUGAACAAAAAAAAUUAGGGUGAGACACAUGCCACACCCUCUAAUACACUGGGACCGCCCCUGUUCAUAUGUUCAGAUGCGAAAUAUUGGAGAUUAAAAGUUUCAAAAGAAAAUAAAUAUUGGAGAUGAAGGCUAUAUAUUGUAUUAGAUGUGUUGGCAUGUUAAAAAUGUGUGAAAAGGCUAAACUUGAGUAUCCAGUUUUACAUGCAUAUCUGUAUCCAAAUUGACUUGUGACAUCUAAACCGAUAUUUCAUGUAUUUAAAAUUGUACCGAGACUAAACCAUCACUUAAAUAUGUUGCGGCGUAAUCACAUAAUCGCUGAUGAUAUAUAUCGUAAUUACGAUUUGUUGUUGUGGUAGUCACUAAUAAUUAUGUAUUGUCAUCGAUGAAUCAAGAUGUAACUUUAAGUAAUAGGAUCACGAAGAAAUAGUUUAAAUAAUUUGAAAAAAAAACCCCCGAUAUACUACAAAAGAAACCACUGAUAGGGUAACAAUAAACAAACUCAAACUAAACCCCAAAAUAAUGAAUAGUGAAAUUUACUAAAUAAGAAUAGUGUUUCUAAAAUUUGAGUACCGAUCCCGCCGAUCUAGUUGACUUGACUCAAUCCUUAUGCUUCAUUCUCUCAAAUUAACUCGGAACAAUAGUUUUUACUUUGUGUUUAUAUAAAUAUAAGAACAAUGGUUUUGGUUAGACUGACAAAACGUUUCUACAAAGUCAUAAUCUUCAUCAAUUUUUGAAUCAUGAAGGGUACUACUUUGGUUAUGGUAUUUUCUGUUUUCAUAUGUUUCACUCUGAGUCAUGGUAAAGACGGGGACUGUUAUGAUCAGAUCCCAUUCCCUGAAAAAUGCAGCAAAUUACAUGGAGACAAGAGAUGCUUCAGAGACAUGCUUUCGAAGAACAUAACACGGCGUUUUCUUUCUUGCAAUUGUAUAAACCGGGAACCAGACAAAUCAUCUGGAAACCUACAAACCGAUUUACACCAUUCGAAACACCCCGGACAUAUCUGCAAUUGUCUCAGAGCUGUUGCCGGUGAUUGUGUGCCAGAUGCGUAAAAGAGUUUUUGGUGGUGAGAAAUAGAUAAGCAAUGGUGCUAAUCUGAUGGUAUUUUCUUCUUAGUAAAGGCAAUAAGAUUAGGCGUUAUUCAUUAAUAACGGACACUACAUGCGUAUUUCACUCAAUUUUGUUUCAUUUAUUUUUGUUUGCUUUCGACAUUUCCAAAUCUAUCUAUAUUGAUAAAAGAGACCAUACUCUAUUUAGUUCUUUUUA